AUUAACUAGUUAAUGAACUCAAGUUGCUCAGCUAAUUAUUUGCAAUUGAAUUCAACUAAAGAUGUACUACUAUCAACGUGGUAGUACUGUCUAAGGAAGCUAUAAUGAGUUCCAACUUGGUCUGUUAAUCAAUGACAACUGGAUGAAGCUAAGAAUGUACUAUGAAUGGAUAGAUGGACCGGUUUGGCUUGUCACAACCAUUACAUUUGCACAGACUAUUGCAAGUACGUAUUGCUCAUCGCCUCGUGGACAUUAUACCGACGGAAGCUUGUGUGAUGUAGCCAUGAUCUAAUCUACAGGAGACAUGUUGUUCUCCAUGUAGCGAGUAGGUCAGAUAGCUCCAUGUCCAUAGCUUGUAAGCUUCCUCUUACCUAGGUCAGCCACUAGGCACGCAAAUUACCAAUCCUUGAUAGAAUUGUAAUCGGAGAGAUUCUCUCACGCGCGCUAUUAUACUAAGCAUGGUCAUCGUCCAGCGGAGCGAUCACAGGCAGUGCCGCAAAAUCCGUUGCGGGCCUGGUGCCCGCCAGUACUGCUAGCAUUUCCUACGUUGUCUUCACCAAAGUCUUCUAGAUGCCCCAACUUGGAUGUCCAUUCCUGUACGUACGAAACCAGGCAUGCCCCGUUGGUUUCCAAUUGGAUGGUGCCAAGAACUCCAUGUGGAGUCGUCCCCGGACUCAGAGGGACUCGGAGCCCGAGAUGUGACGAUGUGGGCGGAUGUAACGAACGUCAUCAACAUUACCAAGGUUAUCACUCAUGUGAAUGUUUGUACUCUUAGUUGUGGCAUUUCCUAUUUACACAAAUGAGCCAAACAGUUCCUUACUCGUAGCCCGCGCACAUAACACAUCCGACCGACCCAUGCAACCAAAGAACUGGGUGGAUAUGUUUAAUUUUGGGGACAUUCUAGAAUCUUCCUCCUCUCCGUAUUGUCUUUCUUAUCAUUUUUUAAUCUGAUGGUUCAUCGGAUUUUAUUUACUAUUUAACUAGCAAAAAAAUAGAUCAUGAAAAUUUCAAAUUGUUUAAAAUCCAAGAACAUAUUUUAAAAUUCGUGAACUUUUCAAAAAAAAAAUAAUGAAAUGGUGAACAUGUUCAGUAUUAUGGAACUCAUUCAAGUAUUUUCCUUUAUCGAUGGUUAGGGAGUUAGUAGUAUUCUCGGGCCAUCAGACAUGAAACAUCAGAUUCGAUGACAUGUGUGUCUUUUUAAAAAGGGUAUUUGUUUCAAUGCAAGGCAACUUCCCAUCAUAGGUACGGUGGUGACCCUCAUGACUUUGUCAAUGUUCAAGCUCAGCGAGUUUAGUCCUCAUUAUAUGACGUAUCGGGGGGUGGGGCAUGUUUGAGAUAUACAUUCUAUCAGAAAAUGUUAGUUAAUUUUAUUAUAUACCUAAAUACAGAAAACUCAUUUUUAAGUAAUUAAUUGUAAAACUAAUAUAUAUGUCUUAUUUGCAUGUUAUUCUACAUGAUAAUCCAUGCCAUCUAAAUGUUGACAUUGGACCACCAUUUGAAAUUCUUACUAGUUCAUACAAUUGCGUACUAAGUUAGCUCAUGUUAUUAAUACUGGUCAAGUAGCC
This 1565-nucleotide long non-coding RNA is filed under the name Hordeum vulgare. Its description in RNAcentral is "long non-coding RNA (HVUL_LNC020731)". The record is from RNAcentral. Lineage: Eukaryota; Viridiplantae; Streptophyta; Magnoliopsida; Poales; Poaceae.